This 495-nucleotide ribosomal RNA is filed under the name uncultured bacterium. Its description in RNAcentral is "partial 16S ribosomal RNA". It matches the Rfam family "Bacterial small subunit ribosomal RNA", at positions 28 to 523 of the family's 1533-position model. The record is from RNAcentral.
GAUGAACGCUGGCGGCGUGCUUAACACAUGCAAGUCGAGCGAAGCGAUUUUAAGGAAGCCUUCGGGUGGAAUUAAAAUUGACUUAGCGGCGGACGGGUGAGUAACGCGUGGGUAACCUGCCUCAUACAGGGGGAUAACAGUUAGAAAUGACUGCUAAUACCGCAUAAGCGCACAGUGCUGCAUAGCACAGUGUGAAAAACUCCGGUGGUAUGAGAUGGACCCGCGUCUGAUUAGGUAGUUGGUGAGGUAACGGCCCACCAAGCCGACGAUCAGUAGCCGACCUGAGAGGGUGACCGGCCACAUUGGGACUGAGACACGGCCCAAACUCCUACGGGAGGCAGCAGUGGGGAAUAUUGGACAAUGGGGGAAACCCUGAUCCAGCGACGCCGCGUGACUGAAGAAGUAUUUCGGUAUGUAAAGGUCUAUCAGCAGGGAAGAAAAUGACGGUACCUGACUAAGAAGCCCCGGCUAACUACGUGCCAGCCGCCGCCGUAA